GCUUUGGAGUUAAGUAUCCACACACACACCCAUGAACAGCCUCACACAUGUGUAAAGUUCCUGGUGUCUCUACAACACUAAAGAGCCAGGCAUAAACCGGAAGACGCCGCUUGGGUCUGCCAGUGAUUAGGAUGCUUCCGCAUGUAACCAUCUGUACUCCGAAAGAAACUGCGGGAUGACGGUUCCGAAGUGGCGUAGCAAUCACGUGAUUAUUAUUAUUAUGACCAUUAUCGUCUUAUUAUGCGCCUUAUCAG
Molecule: long non-coding RNA, 254 nt
Organism: Ornithodoros turicata
Lineage: Eukaryota; Metazoa; Arthropoda; Arachnida; Ixodida; Argasidae
Exons: 3
Source: RefSeq, a predicted model, not a curated record